This 440-nucleotide ribosomal RNA is filed under the name uncultured bacterium. Its description in RNAcentral is "partial 16S ribosomal RNA". It matches the Rfam family "Bacterial small subunit ribosomal RNA", at positions 338 to 795 of the family's 1533-position model. The record is from RNAcentral.
CCUACGGGUGGCAGCAGUGGGGAAUAUUGCACAAUGGGGGAAACCCUGAUGCAGCGACGCCGCGUGAGUGAAGAAGUAAUUCGGUAUGUAAAGCUCUAUCAGCAGGGAAGAAAAUGCCGGUACCUGAGUAAUAAGCCCCGGCUAACUACGUGCCAGCAGCCGCGGUAAUACGUAGGGGGCAAGCGUUAUCCGGAUUUACUGGGUGUAAAGGGAGCGUAGGCGGGAGUGCAAGUCUGGAGUGAAAGGCGGGGGCUCAACCCCCGGACUGCUCUGGAAACUGUACGGCUGGAGUGCAGGAGAGGUAAGUGGAAUGCCUAGUGUAGCGGUGAAAUGCGUAGAUAUUAGGAGGAACACCAGUGGCGAAGGCGGCUUACUGGACUGUAACUGACGUUGAGGCUCGAAAGCGUGGGGAGCAAACAGGAUUAGAUACCCCAGUAGUC